CCUACGGGUGGCAGCAGUGAGGAAUAUUGGUCAAUGGCCGGAAGGCUGAACCAGCCAAGUCGCGUGAGGGAAUAAGGCCCUAUGGGUCGUAAACCUCUUUUGUCAGGGAGCAAAGGCGUCCACGUGUGGACGAGAGGAGAGUACCUGAAGAAAAAGCAUCGGCUAACUCCGUGCCAGCAGCCGCGGUAAUACGUAGGGAGCGAGCGUUAUCCGGAAUUAUUGGGCGUAAAGGGUGCGUAGAUGGCAUAGUAAGUCUUUUGUAAAAAUGCUGGGCUCAACCCAGUAGGGCAAAAGAUACUGCAAAGCUAGAGUAUGACAGAGGCAAGUGGAACUACAUGUGUAGCGGUAAAAUGCGUAAAUAUAUGUAAGAACACCAGUGGCGAAGGCGGCUUGCUGGGUCGAUACUGACAUUGAGGCACGAAAGCGUGGGGAGCAAACAGGAUUAGAUACCCCUGUAGUC
RNAcentral lists this ribosomal RNA (460 nucleotides) under uncultured bacterium. RNAcentral describes it as "partial 16S ribosomal RNA". It matches the Rfam family "Bacterial small subunit ribosomal RNA", at positions 338 to 795 of the family's 1533-position model. The record is from RNAcentral.